AUAUCUACUGCAACGGUUUUCAAUAAAAACAUAUUCCAAUUGGCUUUCACUAUUUUCUUUUUACUUUUUUAUAUCCCCUCUCUUAUUUUUAUUCUCUUUUAAUUUUCUUUACCUUUCCAUUUUCUUACCCUAAUUGAGAGAAAAACCCUCAAAAAAAUUCCACCACUAUAUAUCGACAUCCCUGUUGCCGACAGUAACACUGUUGUAGUUCAUUCCAUGGCUCCUUUUUUGUUUAAUUGCAAAGAAUCCAGAUAUCGGUUGGUGGUCCUCUAAGUUUUAUAAAGCAAAUUCAGAGAAUCCAGAGCAGGGCUAUGCAAUCCAGCUACCAGGAUAACGGAGCUUCACAAUAUCAGCAUGUGCUCCAAAUAUCUAAUACUGCCACCUUAUGACAGAUAGUGUCACGGGACGUACGCUCAGCUAGUCAAUUGAUGGUGGAUUGAAUGAGCAAAGAAUGAAUAAAGCGGCGAAGGCAUUACUUAGAGUUAUGGGAUUGUUCUUGAAAUUAUUCGUGUAUUACAAUAUUUAGGAACCUUUUAUGUUGUAGUAUGCUUUUGAAUUGUACAAUGUUACAAAUUUAUUUUUAUACAAAGAAAUAAAAAACCGUUGCAAUAGCCUCCAUA
Molecule: long non-coding RNA, 620 nt
Organism: Nicotiana attenuata
Lineage: Eukaryota; Viridiplantae; Streptophyta; Magnoliopsida; Solanales; Solanaceae
Exons: 4
Source: RefSeq, a predicted model, not a curated record